RNAcentral lists this non-coding RNA (148 nucleotides) under Pan paniscus (pygmy chimpanzee). The record is from Rfam by way of RNAcentral. RNAcentral also lists the same sequence under 1 other name. Lineage: Eukaryota; Metazoa; Chordata; Mammalia; Primates; Hominidae.
GCCGGGCAUGGUGGUGGAUGCCUAUAAUCCCAGAUACUUGGGAGGCUGAGGCAGGAGAAUUGCUUGAACCCAGGAGGCGGAGGUUGCAGUGAGCCGAGAUCGUGCCAUUGCACUCCAGCCUGGGUAACAGAGCGAGACUCUGUCUCAA